This 600-nucleotide ribosomal RNA is filed under the name Rhodotorula mucilaginosa. RNAcentral's name for it is "partial large subunit ribosomal RNA". It matches the Rfam family "Eukaryotic large subunit ribosomal RNA", at positions 46 to 662 of the family's 3401-position model. Lineage: Eukaryota; Fungi; Basidiomycota; Microbotryomycetes; Sporidiobolales; Sporidiobolaceae. The record is from RNAcentral.
AAAAGCGGAGGAAAAGAAACUAACAAGGAUUCCCCUAGUAGCGGCGAGCGAAGCGGGAAGAGCUCAAAUUUAUAAUCUGGCACCUUCGGUGUCCGAGUUGUAAUCUCUAGAAAUGUUUUCCGCGUUGGACCGCACACAAGUCUGUUGGAAUACAGCGGCAUAGUGGUGAGACCCCCGUAUAUGGUGCGGACGCCCAGCGCUUUGUGAUACAUUUUCGAAGAGUCGAGUUGUUUGGGAAUGCAGCUCAAAUUGGGUGGUAAAUUCCAUCUAAAGCUAAAUAUUGGCGAGAGACCGAUAGCGAACAAGUACCGUGAGGGAAAGAUGAAAAGCACUUUGGAAAGAGAGUUAACAGUACGUGAAAUUGUUGGAAGGGAAACGCUUGAAGUCAGACUUGCUUGCCGAGCAAUCGGUUUGCAGGCCAGCAUCAGUUUUCCGGGAUGGAUAAUGGUAGAGAGAAGGUAGCAGUUUCGGCUGUGUUAUAGCUCUCUGCUGGAUACAUCUUGGGGGACUGAGGAACGCAGUGUGCCUUUGGCGGGGGUUUCGACCUCUUCACACUUAGGAUGCUGGUGGAAUGGCUUUAAACGACCCGUCUUGAAACAC